UACGUAGGGUGCGAGCGUUGCCCGGAUUUAUUGGGCGUAAAGGGCGCGUAGGCGGCUCGGCACGUCCGUUGUGAAAUCGCCCGGCUCAACUGGGCGGGGUCAGCGGAUACGGUCGAGCUUGAGCAAGCUAGGGGGUAAUGGAAUUCCCGGUGUAGUGGUGGAAUGCGUAGAUAUCGGGAGGAACACCCGUGGCGAAGGCGGCAUCCUGGACCAACACUGACGCUGAGGAGCGAAAGCCAGGGGAGCAAACGGG
RNAcentral lists this ribosomal RNA (253 nucleotides) under uncultured bacterium. Its description in RNAcentral is "partial 16S ribosomal RNA". It matches the Rfam family "Bacterial small subunit ribosomal RNA", at positions 524 to 776 of the family's 1533-position model. The record is from RNAcentral.